Small nuclear RNA from Polyodon spathula (Mississippi paddlefish), 140 nucleotides. RefSeq annotates it as U4 spliceosomal RNA. The record is from RefSeq and is a predicted model, not a curated record. Lineage: Eukaryota; Metazoa; Chordata; Actinopteri; Acipenseriformes; Polyodontidae. The transcript has a single exon.
AGCUUUGCAGAGUGGCAGUAUCAUAGCCCAUGAGGUAAAUCCGAGGUGCGAUUAUUGCUGGUUGAAAACUUGACCCAAUACGCGGCUUGUAACAACUUGCAAUAUAGUUGGAAAUUGUAAUUUUUGACAGUCUUUCGAGA